CGUAGGGGGCAAGCGUUGUCCGGAAUCAUUGGGCGUAAAGAGCGUGUAGGCGGCCCGGUAAGUCCGCUGUGAAAGUCCAGGGCUCAACCCUGGAAUGCCGGUGGAUACUGUCGGGCUCGAGUCCGGAAGAGGUGAGUGGAAUUCCUGGUGUAGCGGUGAAAUGCGCAGAUAUCAGGAGGAACACCAAUGGCGAAGGCAGCUCACUGGGACGGUACUGACGCUGAGACGCGAAAGCGUGGGGGAGCAAACAGGAUUAGAUACCCUGGUAGUCCACGCCGUAAACGAUGGUCACUAGGUGUGGGGGGGUGUCGACUCCCUCCGUGCCGGAGCUAACGCAUUAAGUGACCCGCCUGGGGAGUACGGCCGCAAGGCUA
RNAcentral lists this ribosomal RNA (374 nucleotides) under uncultured organism. RNAcentral's name for it is "bacterial SSU rRNA". It matches the Rfam family "Bacterial small subunit ribosomal RNA", at positions 526 to 896 of the family's 1533-position model. The record is from RNAcentral.